UACAUGGGGUGCAAACGUUGCUCGGAAUUAUUGGGCGUAAAGCGCACGUAGGCGGUUCGUUAAGUCGGAGGUGAAAUCCCAAGGCUCAACCUUGGAACUGCCUUUGAUACUGGGGAUCUUGAGUCCGGGAGAGGUGAGUGGAACUGCGAGUGUAGAGGUGAAAUUCGUAGAUAUUCGCAAGAACACCAGUGGCGAAGGCGGCUCACUGGCCCGGUACUGACGCUGAGGUGCGAAAGCGUGGGGAGCAAACAGG
RNAcentral lists this ribosomal RNA (253 nucleotides) under uncultured bacterium. RNAcentral describes it as "partial 16S ribosomal RNA". It matches the Rfam family "Bacterial small subunit ribosomal RNA", at positions 524 to 776 of the family's 1533-position model. The record is from RNAcentral.